AGGGGAAGUAGAGGGAGUUGGCCUUGCUCUGCUUGGUUUCACUUCCGUGUGUCAUGGACUGGACCCCUCGUCAAGGCAGUAAGAUUAACUUCUGCAAUAUCCUUUUGUGGGAAAGAAAGAAGACUUCUGCAUAAACUCCAGCUCAUAAAGGAUGACACACAUGGACAUGAGCCCUAUUUACCAGACCUGGAUGGUAUAUGUGCACAUAUACACCAAGGCAACUACAAAUUUG
Suricata suricatta (meerkat) is the source of this 232-nucleotide long non-coding RNA. RefSeq lists it as uncharacterized. Lineage: Eukaryota; Metazoa; Chordata; Mammalia; Carnivora; Herpestidae. The transcript has 3 exons. The record is from RefSeq and is a predicted model, not a curated record.